RNAcentral lists this ribosomal RNA (492 nucleotides) under uncultured bacterium. RNAcentral describes it as "partial 16S ribosomal RNA". It matches the Rfam family "Bacterial small subunit ribosomal RNA", at positions 29 to 507 of the family's 1533-position model. The record is from RNAcentral.
AGUGAACGCUGGCGGUAGGCCUAACACAUGCAAGUCGAACGGCAGCACAGUAAGAGCUUGCUCUUACGGGUGGCGAGUGGCGGACGGGUGAGGAAUACAUCGGAAUCUACUUUUUCGUGGGGGAUAACGUAGGGAAACUUACGCUAAUACCGCAUACGACCUACGGGUGAAAGCAGGGGAUCUUCGGACCUUGCGCGAUUGAAUGAGCCGAUGUCGGAUUAGCUAGUUGGCGGGGUAAAGGCCCACCAAGGCGACGAUCCGUAGCUGGUCUGAGAGGAUGAUAAGCCACACUGGAACUGAGACACGGUCCAGACUCCUACGGGAGGCAGCAGUGGGGAAUAGUGGACAAUGGGCGCAAGCCUGAUCCAGCCAUACCGCGUGGGUGAAGAAGGCCUUCGGGUUGUAAAGCCCUUUUGUUGGGAAAGAAAAGCAGCAGGUUAAUACCCCGCUGUUCUGACGGUACCCAAAGAAUAAGCAACGGCUAACUUCGGG